Molecule: non-coding RNA, 121 nt
Organism: Picea glauca (white spruce)
Lineage: Eukaryota; Viridiplantae; Streptophyta; Pinopsida; Pinales; Pinaceae
Source: Rfam
ACAUGCCUACAACAUAGCAUUAAUGCACCAGAUCCAAUUAGAACUCCACAGUUAAGCAUGCUCAGGCUAAAGUAGUACUGUGAUGGGUUAUUGCCCAAGAAGUCCUAGUGUUUUACAUGCC